GAUGAACGCUAGCGGCAGGCUUAAUACAUGCAAGUCGUGGGGCAGCAGGUUUGUAGCAAUACAGAUGCUGGCGAUCGGCAAACGGGUGCGGAACACGUACAGAACCUUCCUUUGAGCGGGGAAUAGCCCAGAGAAAUUUGGAUUAAUACCCCAUAGUAUAAUGAAGUGGCAUCACUUUAUUAUUAAAGAUUUAUCACUCGAAGAUGGCUGUGCGGCUGAUUAGGUAGUUGGCGGGGUAAAGGCCCACCAAGCCUGCGAUCAGUAACUGGUGUGAGAGCACGACCAGUCACACGGGCACUGAGACACGGGCCCGACUCCUACGGGAGGCAGCAGUAAGGAAUAUUGGUCAAUGGAGGCAACUCUGAACCAGCCAUGCCGCGUGGAGGAUGAAGGUCCUCUGGAUUGUAAACUUCUUUUAUAUGGGACGAAAAAAGGCUUUUCUAAGUCGUCUGACGGUACCAUAUGAAUAAGCACCGGCUAACUCCGUGCCAG
Molecule: ribosomal RNA, 492 nt
Filed under: uncultured bacterium
Lineage: Bacteria
Description: bacterial SSU rRNA
Rfam family: Bacterial small subunit ribosomal RNA
Source: RNAcentral